AGAGUUUGAUCAUGGCUCAGGAUGAACGCUGGCGGCGUGCUUAACACAUGCAAGUCGAACGAACCUUCGGGUUAGUGGCGGACGGGUGAGUAACGCGUGAGAAUCUGCCCUCAGGAGGGGGAUAACGGUUGGAAACGACCGCUAAUACCCCAUAUGCCUACUGGUGAAACGAAUUUCGCCUGAGGAUGAGCUCGCGUCUGAUUAGCUAGUUGGUGAGGUAAUGGCUCACCAAGACUUCGAUCAGUAGCUGGUCUGAGAGGAUGGUCAGCCACACUGGGACUGAGACACGGCCCAGACUCCUACGGGAGGCAGCAGUGGGGAAUUUUCCGCAAUGGGCGAAAGCCUGACGGAGCGACGCCGCGUGAGGGACGAAGGCCUCUGGGCUGUAAACCUCUUUUCUCAAGGAAGAAGAUAUGACGGUACUUGAGGAAUAAGCCACGGCUAAUUCCGUGCCAGCAGCCGCGGUAAUACGGGAGUGGCAAGCGUUAUCCGGAAUUAUUGGGCGUAAAGCGUCCGCAGGCGGCUUUUCAAGUCUGCUGUUAAAGCGUGGAGCUUAACUCCAUCAUGGCAGUGGAAACUGAAAGGCUUGAGUAUGGUAGGGGCAGAGGGAAUUCCCGGUGUAGCGGUGAAAUGCGUAGAUAUCGGGAAGAACACCAGUGGCGAAGGCGCUCUGCUGGGCCAUUACUGACGCUCAUGGACGAAAGCCAGGGGAGCGAAAGGGAUUAGAUACCCCUGUAGUCCUGGCCGUAAACGAUGAACACUAGGUGUCGGGGGAAUCGACCCCUUCGGUGUCGUAGCUAACGCGUUAAGUGUUCCGCCUGGGGAGUACGCACGCAAGUGUGAAACUCAAAGGAAUUGACGGGGGCCCGCACAAGCGGUGGAGUAUGUGGUUUAAUUCGAUGCAACGCGAAGAACCUUACCAGGGUUUGACAUCCUGCGAACCUCUUAGAAAUUUGAGGGUGCCUUCGGGAAUGCAGUGACAGGUGGUGCAUGGCUGUCGUCAGCUCGUGUCGUGAGAUGUUGGGUUAAGUCCCGCAACGAGCGCAACCCACGUUUUUAGUUGCCAGCAUUUAGUUGGGCACUCUAGAAAGACCGCCGGUGAUAAACCGGAGGAAGGUGUGGAUGACGUCAAGUCAUCAUGCCCCUUACACCCUGGGCUACACACGUACUACAAUGCUACGGACAAAGGGCAGCAAACUCGCGAGAGCUAGCAAAUCCCAUAAACCGUGGCUCAGUUCAGAUCGUAGGCUGCAACUCGCCUACGUGAAGUAGGAAUCGCUAGUAAUCGCAGGUCAGCAUACUGCGGUGAAUACGUUCCCGG
RNAcentral lists this ribosomal RNA (1321 nucleotides) under unidentified marine bacterioplankton. Its description in RNAcentral is "bacterial SSU rRNA". It matches the Rfam family "Bacterial small subunit ribosomal RNA", at positions 8 to 1377 of the family's 1533-position model. The record is from RNAcentral. RNAcentral also lists the same sequence under 1 other name.